UGAAUAGUUAUAAUGUCAAGCAUAAUGC
RNAcentral lists this small RNA (28 nucleotides) under Bombyx mori (domestic silkworm). RNAcentral describes it as "ovarian small RNA-31078". The record is from RNAcentral. Lineage: Eukaryota; Metazoa; Arthropoda; Insecta; Lepidoptera; Bombycidae.